Molecule: transfer RNA, 71 nt
Filed under: Bos taurus (domestic cattle)
Lineage: Eukaryota; Metazoa; Chordata; Mammalia; Artiodactyla; Bovidae
Also listed under: 3 other names
Rfam family: tRNA
About the family: Transfer RNA (tRNA) molecules are approximately 80 nucleotides in length. Their secondary structure includes four short double-helical elements and three loops (D, anti-codon, and T loops).
Source: Rfam by way of RNAcentral
UCCCUGGUGGCUCAGCGGUAAAGAGUCUGCCUGCAAUGCAGGAGAUGCAGGUUCAAUACCUGGGUUGGGAA